This 498-nucleotide ribosomal RNA is filed under the name uncultured bacterium. RNAcentral describes it as "partial 16S ribosomal RNA". It matches the Rfam family "Bacterial small subunit ribosomal RNA", at positions 29 to 523 of the family's 1533-position model. The record is from RNAcentral.
AUUGAACGCUGGCGGAAUGCUUUACACAUGCAAGUCGAGCGGCAGCGCGGGGCAACCUGGCGGCGAGCGGCGAACGGGUGAGUAAUACAUCGGAACGUACCCAGUUGUGGGGGAUAGCCCGGCGAAAGCCGGAUUAAUACCGCAUACGACCUGAGGGUGAAAGGGGGGGAUCGCAAGACCUCUCGCAGUUGGAGCGGCCGAUGGCGGAUUAGCUAGUUGGUAGGGUAAAGGCCUACCAAGGCGACGAUCCGUAGCGGGUCUGAGAGGACGACCCGCCACACUGGAACUGAGACACGGUCCAGACUCCUACGGGAGGCAGCAGUGGGGAAUUUUGGACAAUGGGGGCAACCCUGAUCCAGCCAUUCCGCGUGAGUGAAGAAGGCCUUCGGGUUGUAAAGCUCUUUCGGCAGGAACGAAACGGUCCUUUCUAAUACAAAGGGCUAAUGACGGUACCUGAAGAAGAAGCACCGGCUAACUACGUGCCAGCCGCCGCCGUAA